AGUGAACGCUGGCGGUAGGCCUAACACAUGCCAGUCGAACGGCAGCACAGUAAGAGCUUGCUCUUACGGGUGGCGAGUGGCGGACGGGUGAGGAAUACAUCGGAAUCUACUUUUUCGUGGGGGAUAACGUAGGGAAACUUACGCUAAUACCGCAUACGACCUACGGGUGAAAGCAGGGGAUCUUCGGACCUUGCGCGAUUGAAUGAGCCGAUGUCGGAUUAGCUAGUUGGCGGGGUAAAGGCCCACCAAGGCGACGAUCCGUAGCUGGUCUGAGAGGAUGAUCAGCCACACUGGAACUGAGACACGGUCCAGACUCCUACUGGAGGCAGCAGUGGGGAAUAUUGGACAAUGGGCGCAAGCCUGAUCCAGCCAUACCGCGUGGGUGAAGAAGGCCUUCGGGUUGUAAAGCCCUUUUGUUGGGAAAGAAAAGCAGCAGGUUAAUACCCCGCUGUUCUGACGGUACCCAAAGAAUAAGCGCCGGCUAACUUCGUG
Molecule: ribosomal RNA, 492 nt
Filed under: uncultured bacterium
Lineage: Bacteria
Description: partial 16S ribosomal RNA
Rfam family: Bacterial small subunit ribosomal RNA
Source: RNAcentral